This 465-nucleotide ribosomal RNA is filed under the name Vreelandella stevensii. RNAcentral describes it as "partial 16S ribosomal RNA". It matches the Rfam family "Bacterial small subunit ribosomal RNA", at positions 338 to 795 of the family's 1533-position model. The record is from RNAcentral. Lineage: Bacteria; Pseudomonadati; Pseudomonadota; Gammaproteobacteria; Oceanospirillales; Halomonadaceae.
CCUACGGGAGGCUGCAGUGGGGAAUAUUGGACAAUGGGCGAAAGCCUGAUCCAGCCAUGCCGCGUGUGUGAAGAAGGCCUUCGGGUUGUAAAGCACUUUCAGUGGGGAAGAAAGCCUUGGGGCUAAUACCCUCGAGGAAGGACAUCACCCACAGAAGAAGCACCGGCUAACUCCGUGCCAGCAGCCGCGGUAAUACGGAGGGUGCGAGCGUUAAUCGGAAUUACUGGGCGUAAAGCGCGCGUAGGCGGUCUGAUAAGCCGGUUGUGAAAGCCCCGGGCUCAACCUGGGAACGGCAUCCGGAACUGUCAGGCUAGAGUGCAGGAGAGGAAGGUAGAAUUCCCGGUGUAGCGGUGAAAUGCGUAGAGCUCGGGAGGAAUACCAGUGGCGAAGGCGGCCUUCUGGACUGACACUGACGCUGAGGUGCGAAAGCGUGGGUAGCAAACAGGAUUAGAUACCCUAGUAGUC